AUGGCAUUCAUCCUCCUGGGAGAAGACACUGCUGUGCAGGUGGGCAGAUGUGCAGGUGUCCAGGUGUGGAGGUGGGUGGGUGUGCAGAUGGGCAGGUGGGCAGGUGUGCAGGUGGGCAGGUGGGCAGGUGUGCAGAUGGGCAGAUGGGCAGGUGGGCAGGUAUGCAGGUAUGCAGGUGGGCAGGUUCACAGAUGGGCAGGUGUGCAGAUGCGCAGGUAUGCAGGUGUGCAGGUAGGCAGGUGCCCGGAUGUGCAGGUGCGCAGAUGGGCAGGUGUGCAGAUGCGCAGGUAUGCAGGUGCGCAGGUAGGCAGGUGCCCGGGUGGGCAGGUGGGCAGGUGGGCAGGUGCCUGGGUGUGCAGGUGGGCAGGUGUGCAGAUGGGCAGAUGGGCAGGUGGGCAGGUAGGCAGGUAUGCAGGUGGGCAGGUUCACAGAUGGGCAGGUGUGCAGAUGCGCAGGUAUGCAGGUGUGCAGGUAGGCAGGUGCCCGGAUGUGCAGGUGCGCAGAUGGGCAGGUGUGCGAAUGUGCAGGUAUGCACGUGCGCAGGUAGGCAGGUGCCCGGGUGGGCAGGUGGGCAGGUGGGCAGGUGGGCAGAUGUGCAGGUGGGCAGGUGCGCAGGUAGGCAGGUAUGCAGGUGGGCAGGUGUGCAGGUGGGCAGGUGCCUGGGUGUGCAGGUGGGCAGGUGUGCAGAUGGGCAGAAGGGCAGGUGGGCAGGUAGGCAGGUAUGCAGGUGGGCCGGUUCACAGAUGGGCAGGUGGGCAGGUAUGCAGGUGUGCAGGUAGGCAGGUGCCCGGGUGUGCAGGUGGGCAGGUGGGCGGGUGGGCAGGUGGGCGGGUGGGCAGGUGGGCGGGUGGGCAGGUGGGCGGGUGGGCAGGUGGGCAGGUGUGCAGAUGCGCAGGUGUGCAGAUGCGCAGGUGUGCAGGUGCGCAGGUGGGCAGGUGUGCAGGUGGCCAGAAGAGGGGCCUCAUCUCAGACGCAGCCCCCAGGGGUGCAGCCAGGUGCGUGCAGGGGUGGUGGGGGAUGACACCUCUGUAGGUCUGGCUCCUACGUCCCUCCCCUCCUCCACUGGGGCAGAGCCGGUGCAGCCCCUGCGUACCCCCUCCGUCCUCCCUUCCCUAGAGACCUCGCGUCUGCCCCAGGCCGACCCUCCGUCACCUGUGUGCAUCAGGAACCCGCCUCUCAGGACCAGCCGUUUGCAAUCGGCUGUCUGUCUGGAGAAGCUGGGCUUUGCUGAGACCUACACCUUUCUGUGGCUGUUUCCAGGGCUUGCCCACACCUUCCCGCGGAACCCAAGGCUGAUGGCUGUGUUUUUUUCUGGUUUCACUAAAGAUG
RNAcentral lists this long non-coding RNA (1329 nucleotides) under Ovis aries (sheep). RNAcentral's name for it is "lncRNA (ENSOARG00000026075.1)". The record is from RNAcentral. Lineage: Eukaryota; Metazoa; Chordata; Mammalia; Artiodactyla; Bovidae.